This 498-nucleotide long non-coding RNA is filed under the name Elaeis guineensis (African oil palm). RNAcentral's name for it is "long non-coding RNA (EGUI_LNC034848)". The record is from RNAcentral. Lineage: Eukaryota; Viridiplantae; Streptophyta; Magnoliopsida; Arecales; Arecaceae.
GGCGUUACAUUCUACCGGCUCAUAGAGAUUUUCUACACCCACUUACAGAUAAAAUAAAUUAUACUAUGAAUAUUUAAUUUGCAUAGUAUUCUUCUAAUAUUUGUUAUUGACAGGGUGUAUUUGACAUCAUUGAUUUUGAGGAGGAUCGUGUGAGGUGAGCCGUCGACACUCAUCUAUCCUUGUGUUUCAAAGAUUAUCGCCAUCACAUGCAUCAGCAUUGGUACCGAAUGGUGCAGGAUCAUGGGGAGGAGGCAGCGCAACAGUAGCCCUAUGACAGCAUCACCAUGGAUGAUUGGACUGCCAUAUGCUGGCAUUACGAGGAUCCAGCAUAUUAAGUUACACAUCUAAACUUCUUUUUUUUUUAGAGUUUAAUGACUAAAUCAUUUAUUCUUAAAUUAAAUUUAUUAUCUACUAAUUUGACUGGUAACUUUAUAGAGCUGAUGUGCCCAGAACGUCGUGAAUCAGGCGAGACAGACUGUAUCGCAUUAUGGGGCUUCG